Molecule: long non-coding RNA, 178 nt
Organism: Rosa chinensis
Lineage: Eukaryota; Viridiplantae; Streptophyta; Magnoliopsida; Rosales; Rosaceae
Exons: 3
Source: RefSeq, a predicted model, not a curated record
AUUAGCCGUGGGACGCAGAUCAAACUAUAUUUAAGGCCUGAUGACAAGUAUGAGUUCUCAGAGCCUGCCCGGAUCCAGAGUUUGGUAAAGAAUUACUCGCAAAUUUUGGUGCAAUUGCUUACACUUUGGUGCAAAAACCUAUUGUCAAGGUCUUACCAGAAAAUGGCCUGGAGGUUAG